AGUGUCAUAUUCCUACUCGCUGGGGAGCUUCCUUAUUGCAAGAAACAAGAAUGAAAUCCCUGUUGCUUUUCCUUUCCCUGCUCUCUGCCCCCACCUGUGUCUUCUCCCAGGUGCAACUGGUCCAGUCAGGCCCGGGGACGGUGAAGCCCGGAGAGACCCUUGCAGUGACCUGCGCUGUCUCGGGUUACUCCAUCACUAGCGGUUACUAUUGGAACUGGAUCCGGCAGCCCCCCGGGAAGGACCUGGAGUAGAUGGGAUAUGUAUCAUAUAGCGGGAGCACAAGCUACGCCCCGUCUCUCCAAGGCCGAGUCACCAUCUCUGCAGACACCGCCAAGAACCAGUUCUCCCUGCAACUCCGCUCGCUGACAGCUGCAGACACCGCCACCUAUUACUGCGCCAGAGACACAGUGACUCAGAGCAGAGCAGCGAUCAUACAAAAAGAGGAAGCUGGUUUUAAGCAGCCAACCUCCGGCUUCACCUUCAGCAGCUACUGGAUGGACUGGGUCCGCCAGGCUCCCAGGAAGGGGCUUGAGUGGGUCUCAGGAAUUAGCGGAGGAGGCAGCACGUAUUACCCCGCUUCAGUCCGGGAUCGCUUCACCAUCUCCAGAGACACCUCCAGCAACCUGAUAUACUUGCUAAUGACUGACCUGACACCCGAGGACACCGCUGUGUGCUGCUGA
Gopherus evgoodei (Goodes thornscrub tortoise) is the source of this 680-nucleotide non-coding RNA. The record is from the annotation of a RefSeq genome assembly. NCBI's taxonomy places the organism in Eukaryota, Metazoa, Chordata, Testudines, Testudinidae.